This 155-nucleotide ribosomal RNA is filed under the name Timgrovea sp. H5984. Its description in RNAcentral is "5.8S ribosomal RNA". It matches the Rfam family "5.8S ribosomal RNA". From Rfam's summary of the family: 5.8S ribosomal RNA (5.8S rRNA) is a component of the large subunit of the eukaryotic ribosome. It is transcribed by RNA polymerase I as part of the 45S precursor that also contains 18S and 28S rRNA. Lineage: Eukaryota; Fungi; Basidiomycota; Agaricomycetes; Agaricales; Bolbitiaceae. The record is from RNAcentral.
AACUUUCAGCAACGGAUCUCUUGGCUCUCGCAUCGAUGAAGAACGCAGCGAAAUGCGAUAAGUAAUGUGAAUUGCAGAAUUCAGUGAAUCAUCGAAUCUUUGAACGCACCUUGCGCUCUUUGGUAUUCCGAGGAGCAUGCCUGUUUGAGUGUCAU